This 30-nucleotide small RNA is filed under the name Bombyx mori (domestic silkworm). RNAcentral's name for it is "ovarian small RNA-10357". Lineage: Eukaryota; Metazoa; Arthropoda; Insecta; Lepidoptera; Bombycidae. The record is from RNAcentral.
AACCUCAGUACUGAGGGUCGUGGCCUCCUC